Molecule: non-coding RNA, 669 nt
Organism: Musa acuminata subsp. malaccensis (wild Malaysian banana)
Lineage: Eukaryota; Viridiplantae; Streptophyta; Magnoliopsida; Zingiberales; Musaceae
Source: RefSeq, a predicted model, not a curated record
CCAUGCAAGUUAUAUAUGAAAAAAAAUUUAUUAUAGUUUCAUAGUUCUGUUACUCUACAAAACCUAGAUUUUUCUUAAUCUAGUUUCUUAGACUAAUAUCAUUCUUUAUGCCAUUAUCAUAUUUGAAAUUAAGACAGAAGUGAGGUUUACUGCACUUGCAUUACUAGGUAAUAAUGCUAGAUAGUUCCUGGUGAUUGAACAUGUUCUGUUCUGUGUUAGCAUUUUCAUGAUGUUGUUGACAUGGCAUCACAAGAUAAUUGAUGAUUUCUUUUGGGUUUUUGUACUUGAUAUCAAUUUGGAUCGAACGACUUAUCCUCCAUUUGAUGUUUAUUGCCCAUAUGCGAGAAGAUGCUGAAAGGUCUCACAAAACAAAAGCCUGGCGCAUACUGACUUGGCUCGUGGCCUGGGACUCGAAAGCUUCCAUCAUCAAUCUACCACUUUGGCCGAGGACAUGUUUGGAUGAGCCAAACAAGGCAAGGAAAAGCAGGAUAAGAAUUAAGAGGAAUAGAACAACAAAAAGAGAAGAAAAAGGAGCGGAAAAGGGCACAAUUUGAUGCAGGCACUGCAAAGAUGUUCUCUCCAAGACUUAAUCGAAGCGUGUUAUCCCCUCCAGGAGAAGUUGUUGCCAUUCUUGUUCUGAGGUCCAAUGAAAUUAGGACAUUUCUUGAG